GUUGUAUGGUUAAGUGACUAAGCGUACACGGUGGAUGCCUUGGCAGUCAGAGGCGAUGAAAGACGUAGUAACUUGCGAUAAGCCCAGAUUAGGUAGUAACAACCAUUUGAGUCUGGGAUUUCUGAAUGGGGAAACCCACGUGCAUAAGCACGUAUCCUUACCUGAAUACAUAGGGUAAGGAGGCGAACCGGGGAACUGAAACAUCUAAGUACCCCGAGGAAAAGAAAUCAACCGAGAUUCCGAAAGUAGCGGCGAGCGAAAUUGGACUAGCCCUUAAGCUUUACACGCGUUAGACGAACGGUCUGGAAAGUCCGACGAUACAGGGUGAUAGUCCCGUAGUUGACGACGUGUGUUCAGUGAAAUCGAGUAGGGCGGGACACGUGAUAUCCUGUCUGAAUAUGGGGGGACCAUCCUCCAAGGCUAAAUACUACUGACUGACCGAUAGUGAACCAGUACCGUGAGGGAAAGGCGAAAAGAACCCCUGUGAGGGGAGUGAAAUAGAACCUGAAACCGUGUACGUACAAGCAGUAGGAGCAGGCUUUGUCCUGUGACUGCGUACCUUUUGUAUAAUGGGUCAGCGACUUAUAUUCAGUGGCAAGGUUAACCAUCUAGGGGAGCCGUAGGGAAACCGAGUCUUAACUGGGCGUUCAGUCUCUGGAUAUAGACCCGAAACCAGGUGAUCUAGCCAUGGGCAGGUUGAAGGUUGAGUAACAUCAACUGGAGGACCGAACCGACUAAUGUUGAAAAAUUAGCGGAUGACUUGUGGCUAGGGGUGAAAGGCCAAUCAAACCUGGAGAUAGCUGGUUCUCCCCGAAAGCUAUUUAGGUAGCGCCUCGGACGAAUACUACUGGGGGUAGAGCACUGUUAAGGCUAGGGGGUCAUCCCGACUUACCAACCCUUUGCAAACUCCGAAUACCAGUAAGUACUAUCCGGGAGACACACGGCGGGUGCUAACGUCCGUCGUGGAGAGGGAAACAACCCAGACCGCCAGCUAAGGUCCCAAAUUACUACUAAGUGGGAAACGAUGUGGGAAGGCUCAGACAGCCAGGAUGUUGGCUUAGAAGCAGCCAUCAUUUAAAGAAAGCGUAAUAGCUCACUGGUCGAGUCGGCCUGCGCGGAAGAUGUAACGGGGCUAAGUAGUAAACCGAAGCUGCGGCAAUAUACUUUUGUAUAUUGGGUAGGGGAGCGUUCUGUAAGCGGUUGAAGGUGUGUGGUAACGCAUGCUGGACGUAUCAGAAGUGCGAAUGCUGACAUGAGUAACGAUAAAGGGGGUGAAAAACCUCCUCGCCGGAAGACCAAGGGUUCCUGUCCAACGUUAAUCGGGGCAGGGUAAGUCGACCCCUAAGGCGAGGCCGAAAGGCGUAGUCGAUGGGAAACGGGUUAAUAUUCCCGUACUUCUUACAAUUGCGAUGGGGGGACGGAGAAGGCUAGGUGGGCCUGGCGACGGUUGUCCAGGUUCAAGUGCGUAGGCUUAAGAGUUAGGUAAAUCCGGCUCUUUUUAAGGCUGAGACACGACGUCGAGCACCUACGGGUGUGAAGUCAUUGAUGCCAUGCUUCCAGGAAAAGCCUCUAAGCUUCAGAUUGUAAGGAAUCGUACCCCAAACCGACACAGGUGGUCGGGUAGAGAAUACCAAGGCGCUUGAGAGAACUCGGGUGAAGGAACUAGGCAAAAUGGUACCGUAACUUCGGGAGAAGGUACGCUCUCGACGGUGAAGUCCCUUGCGGAUGGAGCUAUUGAGAGUCGCAGAUACCAGGUGGCUGCAACUGUUUAUUAAAAACACAGCACUGUGCAAAAUCGUAAGAUGACGUAUACGGUGUGACGCCUGCCCGGUGCCGGAAGGUUAAUUGAUGGGGUUAGACUUCGGUCGAAGCUCUUGAUCGAAGCCCCGGUAAACGGCGGCCGUAACUAUAACGGUCCUAAGGUAGCGAAAUUCCUUGUCGGGUAAGUUCCGACCUGCACGAAUGGCGUAAUGAUGGCCACGCUGUCUCCACCCGAGACUCAGUGAAAUUGAAAUCGCUGUGAAGAUGCAGUGUACCCGCGGCUAGACGGAAAGACCCCGUGAACCUUUACUACAGCUUGGCACUGAACAUUGACCCUACAUGUGUAGGAUAGGUGGGAGGCUUUGAAGCACGUACGCCAGUAUGUGUGGAGCCGUCCUUGAAAUACCACCCUUGUAGUGUUGAUGUUCUAACGUCGACCCCUAAUCGGGGUUGCGGACAGUGCCUGGUGGGUAGUUUGACUGGGGCGGUCUCCUCCCAAAGAGUAACGGAGGAGCACGAAGGUGGGCUAAUCACGGUUGGACAUCGUGAGGUUAGUGCAAUGGCAUAAGCCCGCUUGACUGCGAGAAUGACAAUUCGAGCAGGUGCGAAAGCAGGUCAUAGUGAUCCGGUGGUUCUGAAUGGAAGGGCCAUCGCUCAACGGAUAAAAGGUACUCCGGGGAUAACAGGCUGAUACCGCCCAAGAGUUCAUAUCGACGGCGGUGUUUGGCACCUCGAUGUCGGCUCAUCACAUCCUGGGGCUGAAGUCGGUCCCAAGGGUAUGGCUGUUCGCCAUUUAAAGUGGUACGCGAGCUGGGUUUAGAACGUCGUGAGACAGUUCGGUCCCUAUCUGCCGUGGGCGUUGGAAGAUUGAAGGGGGCUGCUCCUAGUACGAGAGGACCGGAGUGGACGAACCUCUGGUGUUCGGGUUGUGUCGCCAGACGCAUUGCCCGGUAGCUAAGUUCGGAAUCGAUAACCGCUGAAAGCAUCUAAGCGGGAAGCGAGCCCUGAGAUGAGUCUUCCCUGAUACUUUAAGUAUCCUAAAGGGUUGUCGGAGACUACGACGUUGAUAGGUCAGGUGUGUAAGUGCUGUGAGGCAUUGAGCUAACUGAUACUAAUUGCCCGUGAGGCUUAACCAUACAACACCCAAGGGGUUU
RNAcentral lists this ribosomal RNA (2915 nucleotides) under Vibrio parahaemolyticus. RNAcentral's name for it is "bacterial LSU rRNA". It matches the Rfam family "Bacterial large subunit ribosomal RNA". The record is from RNAcentral. Lineage: Bacteria; Pseudomonadati; Pseudomonadota; Gammaproteobacteria; Vibrionales; Vibrionaceae.